Cornus florida is the source of this 256-nucleotide long non-coding RNA. RefSeq lists it as uncharacterized. The record is from RefSeq and is a predicted model, not a curated record. NCBI's taxonomy places the organism in Eukaryota, Viridiplantae, Streptophyta, Magnoliopsida, Cornales, Cornaceae. The transcript is spliced from 3 exons.
CCUUGAAGGAUCUAGCCUAACUUCUAGUUUUUCUUUGGUAUCUAGAGAUUCAAUUCUCUAGUGAGUUGAAGGUAGCAAGCUGAAAAAUCUGUUUUGCGGACCAAAAAUUUGGGGCGAUUUCAUUUCGGUGGUAAUUGGGAUUUUCAUUCCAAUUGAGGUACAGGACUCAGGAUUUGAAGAUUCCAUUGCUCCUUGGAUGGCUUACAGUUUCUAAGUUUCUAUUUUAUGCAAGUGUUAGCAUAAGAUGCCUCUUUGU